RNAcentral lists this ribosomal RNA (717 nucleotides) under Escherichia coli. RNAcentral describes it as "partial 23S ribosomal RNA". It matches the Rfam family "Bacterial large subunit ribosomal RNA", at positions 2232 to 2925 of the family's 2925-position model. The record is from RNAcentral. Lineage: Bacteria; Pseudomonadati; Pseudomonadota; Gammaproteobacteria; Enterobacterales; Enterobacteriaceae.
CCCGUUAUCCGGGUUGCGGACAGUGUCUGGUGGGUAGUUUGACUGGGGCGGUCUCCUCCUAAAGAGUAACGGAGGAGCACGAAGGUUGGCUAAUCCUGGUCGGACAUCAGGAGGUUAGUGCAAUGGCAUAAGCCAGCUUGACUGCGAGCGUGACGGCGCGAGCAGGUGCGAAAGCAGGUCAUAGUGAUCCGGUGGUUCUGAAUGGAAGGGCCAUCGCUCAACGGAUAAAAGGUACUCCGGGGAUAACAGGCUGAUACCGCCCAAGAGUUCAUAUCGACGGCGGUGUUUGGCACCUCGAUGUCGGCUCAUCACAUCCUGGGGCUGAAGUAGGUCCCAAGGGUAUGGCUGUUCGCCAUUUAAAGUGGUACGCGAGCUGGGUUUAGAACGUCGUGAGACAGUUCGGUCCCUAUCUGCCGUGGGCGCUGGAGAACUGAGGGGGGCUGCUCCUAGUACGAGAGGACCGGAGUGGACGCAUCACUGGUGUUCGGGUUGUCAUGCCAAUGGCACUGCCCGGUAGCUAAAUGCGGAAGAGAUAAGUGCUGAAAGCAUCUAAGCACGAAACUUGCCCCGAGAUGAGUUCUCCCUGACUCCUUGAGAGUCCUGAAGGAACGUUGAAGACGACGACGUUGAUAGGCCGGGUGUGUAAGCGCAGCGAUGCGUUGAGCUAACCGGUACUAAUGAACCGUGAGGCUUAACCUUACAACGCCGAAGGUGUUU